UGGGGAAUAUUGCACAAUGGGCGAAAGCCUGAUGCAGCAACGCCGCGUGAGUGAUGAAGGUCUUCGGAUUGNAAAGCUCUGUCUUUUGGGACGAUAAUGACGGUACCAAAGGAGGAAGCCACGGCUAACUACGUGCCAGCAGCCGCGGUAAUACGUAGGUGGCGAGCGUUGUCCGGAUUUACUGGGCGUAAAGGGUGCGUAGGCGGAUGUUUAAGUGAGAUGUGAAAUACCCGGGCUUAACUUGGGGU
RNAcentral lists this ribosomal RNA (248 nucleotides) under uncultured bacterium. RNAcentral's name for it is "partial 16S ribosomal RNA". It matches the Rfam family "Bacterial small subunit ribosomal RNA", at positions 355 to 620 of the family's 1533-position model. The record is from RNAcentral.